Syngnathoides biaculeatus (alligator pipefish) is the source of this 1740-nucleotide long non-coding RNA. RefSeq lists it as uncharacterized. Lineage: Eukaryota; Metazoa; Chordata; Actinopteri; Syngnathiformes; Syngnathidae. The transcript has 2 exons. The record is from RefSeq and is a predicted model, not a curated record.
CCGGCGGCCGUAUCUCCAUUAUUUUUCCAAACUAGUAAAAACCAACCGGCCUCCAGGCAUGGUUAACUUCUGCGCCGCGGUCGGCUGCUCCAACAGAGCCGGGCCCGACGGCAACAAGUCGUUCUUCAGGAUUCCCGCUGUCAUAACGAGGCAGGGAGAACAAACUGAGAAACUUUCCUCUCAGCGUCAAAGGGAUUGGCUGGCGGCGUUGUCCAGGGCGGACCUAAACACGGCUAAUCUGGCCCAGUAUCGCGUCUGCUCGGAUCAUUUUGUCACUGGCAAGCCAGCGCAGCUGUACGAUUUCCUUAAUCCGGACUGGGUUCCAACCAUGAACAUGGGACAGAACAAAUUCAAGCGUGGAUCCGCAAGAAAAAAAUGCGCAAGAUUUCAGCAAAACGCAGAACAGGCAGCAAAACGACGGCACCUGGACGCUGCGGCCAGUCCGCUAGCGUCGCGGGAUGACGGCUCGUCGCCCGACGCAAAUCCGCGUACAGACUCUGCUGACCCUACCGAUACUGAAGGCGGUGACGACCAAGAGUCCCGCGGAAGUGCAGACGCUGAUGAGCGGCGCCCAAAUCGAGCGCGUUCAGUCGGAGGUGCGGAGGCUCACCCUUGAGAGCAUCCGGCUGGAGAAAUCCCUCAGCAACCAUCGCGUCGCCGCGAGGAGGACGCUUUUCGAGGGAAUGAUGAGAAAGUGAAAUAUUUCACAGGCCUCCCCAAUUUUGAGACACUGAAGGCGGUUUUUGGCUACGACGGACGAGAAUUCCUCGGUGUCAACGUUCCAGCAGAUGAUGCUGGUCUUGAUGAAACCGAGGCUAAACAAACAUGCCUCCGACUGUGCUAAGCGACUGGUUCCUGGCGCUGGCGUCGCCGUCCGCCGUUUCCCGCACGUAUUCGAGUGCUGUGGAUGUCACGUACGCAAAAAUGAAGCCGCCGAUUGUAUGGCCAGAGAGGGAACGGAUAAUACGGACCACGCCAACGGACUUUCGCCAACAGUUUCAGCAACAAGUUGCCGUUAUUAUCGAGCGUUUCGAAACGUUGAUAGAAAGUCCGUCGGAUCGCGAGGCCGAGGCACUGACGUGGUCGUCGUACAAGCGUUAAGAAUACCGCAAAGUACCUGAUUGGAAUUCUUCCCCGGGGGUCGUUUCAUAUAUUUCACCUGGUUGGGGAGGGAGCGCCUCACAGAACGUUCCGAUCUGCUGCAAAACCUUCUCCCGGGCGACCCGGUUUUAGCCGCUCGGGGGUUCGACAUCGCGGAUUCUGGCGGUUCCGUAUGCGCCCAACUGGUCGUGCCCGGCGUUGACCGCGGGUAAAAAUCAACUUUCUGCCCCGGAAGUUGAAGACACUCGCGGAAUGGCGAACGUGCGCGUUCUCGUGGAAAGGAUUAUUGGAAAUUUGCGGCGAAAAUAUGGAUUCUUUGGCGGUGUCGUGCCAGUGGAUCGCUCGACGGCCCCCCGAGGUGACGUUCCCACGUUAGAUAAAGGAGGUUGUCGUUUGUCGCGCGUUGCUCAACCUCAGCCAAUCCGUGGUGCCGUUCAACCCAUGUAACGUACAAUACGGACGAGCACGUGUCGAGGAUCAUAAAUCCUGAUGAAAGAGGUGAAUUUCUUUUUUUUUUUUUUUUUACAUUUGUAGUUGAAGCGUAGAAAUGAAUCAUGAACGCACUAUGUUGAAAAUUGCGUUCAACAGUGAAAUCAGCGGAAUAUAGCAAAUUGAAAUAAAAUGAUAAAGUCAAUGUGA